UGACUGAUGUUCUAGUGCUUGAGAUUCUGCGCUCUCAAUGCAGUGGCCCAGGUUCACUUCCUGGUCAGAGAA
RNAcentral lists this transfer RNA (72 nucleotides) under Equus caballus (horse). It matches the Rfam family "tRNA". From Rfam's summary of the family: Transfer RNA (tRNA) molecules are approximately 80 nucleotides in length. Their secondary structure includes four short double-helical elements and three loops (D, anti-codon, and T loops). The record is from Rfam by way of RNAcentral. Lineage: Eukaryota; Metazoa; Chordata; Mammalia; Perissodactyla; Equidae.